AGACAGCAACAUUUAUAAAUAAAAAUAAUAAAAAAGAAAACCGUGCCCGCUGUUUUAUUUGCUUUUUAGUGGUUCUUGUUUUUCUUGUGGUUGAUUGUUCUUAUCUUCGCUUUUCUUCUCUGUG
This 124-nucleotide non-coding RNA is filed under the name Lotharella globosa. The record is from RNAcentral. Lineage: Eukaryota; Cercozoa; Chlorarachniophyceae.